This is a long non-coding RNA of Alnus glutinosa, 585 nucleotides long. RefSeq lists it as uncharacterized. Lineage: Eukaryota; Viridiplantae; Streptophyta; Magnoliopsida; Fagales; Betulaceae. The transcript has 4 exons. The record is from RefSeq and is a predicted model, not a curated record.
UGUUUUCGGAAGAUCAGUUUUUUGAGGUUUUUCACUCUUCUUUUUGGUUUUUCUUUGAUCUAUAAAGAUCUAACCGUCCAAAUUCAAAUCUGUCUUCGGUAACGUGAUCCAUGAAUCCCGAUCUACGUUUUCACCAAUCGUUUUGAAGUAAUAGGUUACUUGAAAUUUGCUUGAGGCUAACCAAACCAUGGGUUUUGGUUUGGUGGAAUUUUGUAAUGCAUUGCAUGGUGGUGUCUAGGAGACCUAGUGCUUAAUAUCCGCCCAGCCAAGACAUUGAUGCUUUGGUUGCAGGUUCUGCGGAUAUAGAUAAUGACUCGCCCACCUAGCUAGAUGAUAUGAUUGGAGUACAUCGUGACAGUCAUAAGUCACAGACUCAUGGGUAGUCUGCAUUUGGGUAUUUUAUUUAUGGCUCGUGUCAUACGUGACAUAUGUAUUUGUUGAGCCUGUAUUUUAGUAUGUAAUUAGUGUAAUAUGUUUUAUAAGCUUUAAUCAGUUAGACAUGUAAAUGGCUCUUGUUGUCGAUAACAGUUAUAUAUUAGAUGUAUUUCCGCUAUUGAUAUGUGUUCCGCUGCACAUGGAUAUUUA